GAUGAAGAACGCAGCGAAACGCGAUAAGUAAUGUGAAUUGCAGAAUCCAGUGAAUCAUCGAAUCUUUGAACGCACAUUGCGCCCGCCAGCAUUCUGGCGGGCAUGCCUGUUCGAGCGUCAUUUCAACCCUCGACCUCCCCUUGGGGAGGUCGGCGUUGGGGACCGGCAGCACACCGCCGGCCCUGAAAUGGAGUGGCGGCCCGUCCGCGGCGCCCUCUGCGCAGUAAUACAGCUCGCACCGGGACCCCGACGCGGCCACGCCGUAAAACACCCAACUUCUGAACGUUGACCUCGAAUCAGGUAGGACUACCCGCUGAACUUAAGCAUAUCAAUAAGCGGAGGA
Molecule: unclassified non-coding RNA, 343 nt
Filed under: soil metagenome
Description: partial contains 5.8S ribosomal RNA, internal transcribed spacer 2, and large subunit ribosomal RNA
Rfam family: 5.8S ribosomal RNA (bases 1-120)
Source: RNAcentral